Long non-coding RNA from Brassica oleracea var. oleracea, 506 nucleotides. RefSeq lists it as uncharacterized. The transcript is spliced from 2 exons. Lineage: Eukaryota; Viridiplantae; Streptophyta; Magnoliopsida; Brassicales; Brassicaceae. The record is from RefSeq and is a predicted model, not a curated record.
CCGUCUUAACCUGAAAUAACUCGAGACCAAACCUAAUCUUGUGUGUUUCUUUGUUGUAAACGAGACAAACCCUAGAAGAAAACUUACAUGAUGAAGAUUCUCAAUUUUCGUCAACAGCGGUGGAAUCAGAUGGAGAUUUAAGAACCGAAAGUCUAGAUCUUUGUUGAAGAAGGUGGUGAUCUGAUGAUAUCGUAAUCACAGAGUUUCCUUCUCCGUCGAUACCAUUCACUAAACGGUUUUACGUCUAGGAGAUUUGGAGGAGCAGGAACAUGUUCUCCCCGUAGGGACUGAAGUUUUUCGAGGUCUUCGACUCUUUUUAUGGAGCAACAUUUGUGCUACUGGUCUGUAACUUUACAAUCAGGAUUAUCAUUGAGAAUUUGUAUUUGAGCAGCUAUUCUUGAAAUAUAAGGAUCCUAUAUGAUUGCUGAACAUUUUUUUUUAUAAUUUGGGCUGUCAGGAUUCCAAUCAGGAUUUUUGUAAUUUAAAUAAAGAUUGGUGGAUAGGAA